This 457-nucleotide long non-coding RNA is filed under the name Rhinopithecus bieti (black snub-nosed monkey). RNAcentral describes it as "lncRNA (ENSRBIG00000045613.1)". The record is from RNAcentral. Lineage: Eukaryota; Metazoa; Chordata; Mammalia; Primates; Cercopithecidae.
AUAAAAAAGUCUUUAUUGUGGAGAAAAAUGUUUAUUUUUAUGCAGAAGGAAGAUGGAGUUGACAGUUUAGACUGUAGAAUGAAUAGCAGUUACUUCUCACUUGUGGUCCCGGCCAUGACAAAGCUGCUCAUUUGGAAUGCUUCUCAGCCAAUGUGAGCAUUGUAUGGAACUGAGAUUUCACUUUUCAACCUUCUGCCUUCAGCUAAUCUACAUCUGGACAAACUGGACCAAGGCCAGCUUCAAACAGUGGGUCCCCGUGGCAGGGUCACACAAAUUAACAAUGAAAUCAUCAUUAAAAAGGAGAAGAAAAGACCAAACUAUCAACUGAAUCUGUGAAAAAUAAAAAAUAUGACCAGGGGUUGCAAGAAUAGUCAUUUAUCAUGUCAGCUCAAUUCUAGUAGUUAUAUCCAUGAAAUAGAAUGUUAAGGUCACCAUGUGACAUAGAAGAAAUUGGAAA